UAAUUGUGCCCACUUUGAUAUUCCUUUCAGAUACCUGUCCCACACUGAACUGGCCCCACUCAGAGCUCCCUUGAUCCCUAUGGAGCACUGCACCACUCGCUUCUUUGAGACAUGUGAUCUAGACAACGACAAAUACAUUGCUCUGGAGGAAUGGGCCAACUGCUUUGGCAUUAAGGAAAACGACAUUGACAAGGAUCUUGUCAUCUAAAUUUAGCAGCUUCUUCAUCUGUUAUGCACAAGUUGCGUUCUCCCAUUUUAACAAGUUGAAGAGUGUUUUUCUUUAUUUUAUCGGGGACAAGGUGCUAAUAUAGGUCUAAACAUAUACAUUAACGGUGCUAAAAAAAAGGAGACAGAAAGUUGAUAGUAGCUUAAUCUAUACCACUAGAUCACUUUGCUCACACCCUCAUUGUGCAUCUCUGUUGACCUUUUAAUUUGUUGAUACCAGUACAGUAAUUAAACAAAAAAUCUGUUCCAAUUUUCAACUAUUUAAGUUGACUCUACUUGAUAGACUCAAGACUAUUAAUCCCCUAAUUUCAAAGAAAGGCAAGAAAGAAAGAUAAACCAAAAAAUGUGUGGAGAGACUGGCUUUACAAAGUCAAGAGUUGCAAAUGUUUUAUGAAAGUUUAAGAAACUUGGAUUUUAUAUGAUAGUGCAGUGGGAAUGGCAGGGGAGGAGAUGGGACAGGACUGAAAAGUCAGAAAGGAGAAUUUAUAAAUUUGACAGUUCUUGAAUGUAACAGUAAUUGGGCACAAACUCAAAAUAACAUAAGCAGAAAAAAACCUGAAGUGUUGGAAAGUUUCAGAUCUUGUAACCCACUCAUCCUCCCACCCUUUACAAAUAAAAAGUUAAAAACG
This is a non-coding RNA of Thamnophis sirtalis, 854 nucleotides long. The record is from RefSeq and is a predicted model, not a curated record. NCBI's taxonomy places the organism in Eukaryota, Metazoa, Chordata, Lepidosauria, Squamata, Natricidae.